Aricia agestis (brown argus) is the source of this 1035-nucleotide long non-coding RNA. RefSeq lists it as uncharacterized. The transcript has 3 exons. The record is from RefSeq and is a predicted model, not a curated record. Lineage: Eukaryota; Metazoa; Arthropoda; Insecta; Lepidoptera; Lycaenidae.
UUUAUAUAGUUCCCACUGUAUUUUUAAUAUAUUUGUACAAAGCACCAUAACACUUUUGGUUUUUUAGGAAAUCACUUAAUUGGCGGCGGGAGGUAUCACUUUCUUCAAUAAUUUCAGUUGCCAACACUAGUCUAUGAAAGGUGAAUCUUGAACAGUUGAAAAAAAUGUGAUUCAUGUCGGCGUUCUCUUCGUUACAAAAAGUGCAAUUAUUGCUGCUUAUUAUGUUCAAUCUCGCAAGGUGUGCAGGUGCAGUGUUAUGACCAAAUCUGAGUCUGUUUAUUGUUGUGAUAAAGUCACGGCUCGCUAUCUUCAGCUCAUUGUACCAUGGAUUUGUCGGAAAAUCCGGCACAAAGUUGGGGACAGCCCAGUCAGAAGAUCAUGAGGUGAAGCUAAUGGACCAUCUGUGAUGAUUGGGUGAGAUCGUGGAUGAGAGAAAUGAAGCUGUCUGAACAACUUCGUCCUCUACGGAACCCAUACUGAAUUUGAGGAAUGAUGUUAUGAGAUUCUGCGUACCAAUCCAGGCGGUUCUUUAGCAUAUUUUCAAAUAUCUUACCAAUACAUGAUGAUAAAGAUAUUGGCCGAUAAGAACUGGCCUCCUCUGGUGGUUUAUCUUGUUUAAGUAUGGGUAUCACACAUUGAGUCUUCCAUGAGAUUGGUAUCAGUUUUUUAAGCCAAAGACAAUUUAAAAUACACAGUAAUAUUUUUUGGAUAGAUUCUGGUAGUUCUUUUAUUAAUAUAUACGGAAAAUCGUCCAAACCAGGGCUAGUAUUUUUUCUAGAUUUUAUACUUGUUAAAAAUUCUGACCAUGAGAAAGGAUCCAAUAGAAAUCCUGAUUGUGGAUUUUCAUUGUUCAUAUUAAAAUAAGUUUCUAACGAAUCAGGAUUAACUAAAUUAGAAUUAUCUGAUAAUUUAUCUAACAAUGGUUGCACAAAAUCAUUUUGAUAUGACUUAUUAUUGGUUCUAAUACCCUUAAAUCUUUUAAUAAGGUUCCAGAUUUUACUUAUAGGAGUAGUUCUAUUGAAAUUAUUACAAAAA